UGUAAAAAUUUCAUCAAUUUCUACUGUUAAAAAUUGACAUGACUGACAUAGUAACCAAAUAGUAACAUGUGGCAUGUCACAUGUACCUCAUGCUGACAUAUAGAGACCAGUUUUUUAACCGUAGAAAUGGAUGAAACUUAUAACA
Molecule: non-coding RNA, 145 nt
Organism: Gossypium raimondii (Peruvian cotton)
Lineage: Eukaryota; Viridiplantae; Streptophyta; Magnoliopsida; Malvales; Malvaceae
Source: Rfam